Molecule: long non-coding RNA, 18649 nt
Filed under: Citrus maxima (pomelo)
Lineage: Eukaryota; Viridiplantae; Streptophyta; Magnoliopsida; Sapindales; Rutaceae
Description: long non-coding RNA (CMAX_LNC001563)
Source: RNAcentral
UUUUUUUUUUUUUUUUUUUUUUGGUUGAUGUGGUUGUCGUUUGAAUGAAUAGAUCUGAGGGAGAGAGAGUUUGUUUUGAAAUUGGGGGAGAGAGGGAGGAUUAAUUUUGGGGGGUGGAGUUGGGACUGUUGGAGUGGGAGGGGAAAGGGGAAGCGAUGAUCGCGUUGAUGAAGGGAGAGAAACGGGGGAGAUUGAUUGUGGGCCGUUGGAUUCCUGAGAGUGAUGGCCAGGUAAAAGUAGUUCCAAUCAAGCUGGCAUACACGGGGAUUUUGAUUUUGAUUCUGGCAAGGCAGGCUUAAAAGUUGGCUUUACCCCUUUUUGCUUUCAUUAAUAUAAUUCAUUUUCUUUUCUUUCUUUAAAUUUAAAUUUUGAAAGGCAGGUGGGUCUGUUCGUUUGGGCUGCCCACUUGAAAGCGGGCUGGCUCCGAGGGAGAAUGGUCACGUCUGGGGUUUUUUUUUUUUUUUUUUUUUUUUUUAUACCAAGACAAAGACAAUGGAUAAUUUCGUAAAUCUACCUCUGACAUCACCACUAUUAUAGCACACGGAUAAGCUAUUAAGUUGUUUUCACCAGCUUUGGUUUGAAGUUUAUCCACUUGGUUAAAUCGAAGUGACUGGAAACAUAGAACAACUAUGUUAAAUGCCGUGAGCUAUGCACAUGUACAUGUACAGUCUAGAAUUUUAGAUUAUUACUUGAUUAAGAUGAGCCGUUUGUUUGUCGAAAUGCUGACUCGGUGGGUUAUAUCAAAGGCGAAGCAGAAAAUGUUGAAUUUUAUAGAAUAUACACCGGCCAUGGGGCAAGUUCGACAAAUUGUGGAGCAUUUCGAGAAAAAAAUGUUCGCUUUCUUAUUUUAUUUUUGGUUUGGGGGGGUGCAUGAAUACGUCAGUGCCACCGAACACAACAUGAUUAGUUGCCCGAAUUGUCCAACGAUUUGUAAAAUUUUCUUCAGCACGUGGCUUCCAUUUCACAGACCCUUUGGCUUUUGAGUGUUGUUGUAGUCUAAGCUAAAUGACAAAUUCCGAAUUAUGAUUAUUGAAGUUUGUUAACUCAAGUGUUUGAUAUAUUUCCAAGGUAUUUGAUGAAAUGUCCGAAUGACUAGUUUUAGAGGGGAAAACUCAGCUUUGAUGAAAGAGCAGUGAAUCAGGAAAAUGAAUGGUGACGUAGAAUUGAAGAUUACAGCCGGAAAUCAUAGGUUGAAAGAAUGAAGGAUUUGGGGGGUAAGAACAAUGAACAUUUGUCCAUGCAAGAACAGUUGCUCCAAACCAAAGAUCAAUUUGUAGCCAUUAAUUAAAUCAUAGUUAGAUGCAGCUGUGAAUUAGUACAAUAUUAAACAAAAAAAAGGCUGAUAUAUUUAUAACAUUGCUCUUCAGUCUCUUUCUGCGUUUAUUUUUUGGUUUAGUUUUUCAGUGCUAAUAUCCAGCCCAAAGUGUACUUGUCUGUGAAAAUAUAUAACAGCCAGCAUUGAGAAAUAAUCUAACGCAACUACGAUGACUUUAUAACCUUAAUUUUAUAUUACCACAUUCACUGGAUAUUAAACUGAUCGAGAUGAGCUUUUGGAGCGGGCCACUAACUAUAUGAGAAAUGGCUGUUUUUGCGUCAUUGGUUGGACACUGCGGUGCCGAGCCAACUGUGCAUAUUAAUUCCGAACAAUUUGGUAACGCUUAACGAGUGACUGCUGGUGCCUUGCUUCCUUUGACCUUAACCCACUUACAUAUUUCUUUUCUACAAUAAAAUUUAGUCUUGGAAUAACAUCAACAGCUCUAAUGAUAACAAUAGGACUCUCCAAAAAAAAUAAAAAUUAUCAAAAACACCACAAGGUUGUUUUGUUAUGUCAAAUAAAUGCCCAUGUUUUGGUUAGCACAGCUGCAACGGUAAUUGUGGAUGAUGAUUGUUUUUUUGAAUGGUUGGUAAUUAUGGGUUUGAACUGGACUCGACUAGCUUACAGAAUCUGUAAGGUACAGACUGCAGCAUCAGCCGUUGGAUGUGGUUGGAUGUGGAGUGAGAAACUAAACAAUAGAAUAUCGGAUGGUGGGAUGACGGGAGAUGUUUGUUACAGAAUCUGUACCAUAGACAGGUCCGUUUGAACUUUGAACUUUGAAAUAGCCCAAAUAUCAUAAGACAUUCCGACAUGUCCCAAAACUUAACCUACUUUUUGACUAAUAAUUUGUUUCAUUACAUAAUCUUAACAAAAACUGUCUCACAAUUUAAAAGUCGGUCCAUCAUACAUUUAUACUCCUAAUCAGAAAUCAACAAAAUAAAGGGUGCUGCUCACAGGUGGCAGGUCAAUGAAGUAGCAGCUAUCUAUCUUAUUUAUUUAUUUAUUUUUAUAGCGAAUCUUACCGCUCAAAUUUGGCGUUUGGCCGCUGCCCACUAGCCCCACUAAACGGUUUCUGUAAUCAGUAAUCUAUAUAAAUAAAUUUAUUUAGAAAUGUUAGUUGCGUUGGUCUCGGGCAGAAGAAGAAUUUUUGUGUACCUUCCACACCGAUGGUCAUUUCACUAACGUUUUCUUUACUAUUUAAAGUAGGCUUUAAGUAAGACUCUCUCCCCCAAUCUUUACACGUGCCAAAUCGUGCCCCAAUGUCGUAACCGCAGUCAAAAUAAUCUUAAAUCUUUGACUUUCUUCUGCUUCCAAGACUUUUUAACUUAAUGAUGACGGUAACUUGCAAGCCGCGACCUCUGUUACCGGCUUGAGUUUCAGAAGCCUUUUUCUUUUUUUGGUCCUUCAAGUUCAAGCCUUGCAAAGAAGAGGAAAUCAUGGAGAGAUAUGAGAUUGUGAAGGAUAUAGGGUCUGGGAACUUUGGGGUAGCCAAGCUUGUCAGAGACAAAUGGACAAGGGAGCUUCUUGCUGUUAAGUUCAUUGAGAGAGGCCAAAAGGUUUGGGAAUAUUGAAUUGGACUCAUUUUCCUAUCUGGGUUACCAUCUUUUCCUCUUGGCUCUCUGUUUUUGGUUGAUGAGGUGUUUUGUUGGUCUUGCAGAUUGAUGAACAUGUGCAAAGGGAAAUCAUGAACCACAGAUCAUUGAAGCAUCCUAAUAUUGUCAGAUUCAAAGAGGUAUGGUUUUAACUGUCUAUAUUUCUGAAAAAUGCUAAUUUUCUUCUGUUGAGUGCUUAGAUGUUGCAUGCAAUGGCAGCCAGUGUUCUGUUUGCAUAUGCAAAGGUAACCUCUCUGGGUGUUCAGCUGCCCCGACCUUGUUUCCCGCUAUAUUUGUUUAACCAUAAAAUAGAAAUUUUCUCUUCCAAAUUCUGUUGCGCGUUUAUUUCUUGAUAAUUAACUUCAAACUACAAGCCUGUUUUGAGUUACCUUUAUGGAAAUGAAGCUACAUAGCUUGCCAAAAAUGCUACUAAAUAUAUACACCAAAUAGCAUAUGGCAGUUUGAAGUUAGUUAUCUUGAUGUUUCCCCUUCAUUUUUAGAUUAUACGGGGUUGAAGUUUCAUGGCUUUGUUAUUGGAUAAUCUACCUUCAUGCUUAACUGGAUAUAACUGCAUAACUUUUCGUCUUUAGCAUCGGAAAGCCAAGAUGAGAACCAAUUCAAUAGGUUGAACAACCCCCUUCACUUUAUAGACCUCUAAGCCCAAAUUAGUAUGAAUCAUUGCAAACUUAGUGUGAUUAUCAAAAUCUGUUUUAGUUCAAUAGCAAAAUAGUAAUAAUGAAUAUGUACAUUGCAUUUUGGGAAAGAGGAUUCUACAUAUGAUUUUUGAGGCUACUCUUUGUAGGUUCUGCUGACCCCUACUCAUCUAGCCAUAGUCAUGGAAUAUGCUGCUGGAGGAGAACUGUUUGAGAGGAUAUGCAAUGCUGGCAGAUUCAGUGAGGAUGAGGUAAAGCAUAAGGAGAACGAUUCAUUUGACAUAUUUGCUUCACAUAAUAUUUAGUUUCCUGGCUGUUUCACGGAGCAAUUUUCUUCCUAAAUUCUUUCUGUGUGGCAUUUGAAAAGAGUGCUUAUGAUUGUAUAUUUUCUAAGAGUUUGUUAAUAACUAAAAUUUGAUUCAUACGAUUUUCUUAUACUCUUAUUUGUUUUUGCAUCAGGCAAGGUUUUUCUUCCAGCAACUGAUAUCAGGAGUCAGUUAUUGCCAUUCUAUGGUACUAAGUUUAAUCCUUCUUCAUUAAGUUGUCCUUCUUUCAAUAAAUUGCAGUGUCUGACUUAAAGAGUUCUAUGUUUUGCAGCAAAUUUGUCACAGAGAUCUCAAGCUUGAGAAUACACUCUUGGAUGGCAGCACUGCUCCACGUGUUAAGAUAUGUGACUUUGGGUACUCGAAGGUAAUUAUAUUUGCUGAUGCUAAAGAAUCAUGUCAAGCAGUCAAAAUUAAUAAUGUUUACUCACUAAUUCUUCUUGUCUUAUUUUGUAGUCUUCUGUGUUGCAUUCUCAACCAAAAUCUACAGUAGGAACCCCAGCAUACAUUGCACCCGAAGUUCUAACUAAAAAAGAAUAUGAUGGGAAGGUAAAAUCCCAUCUAUCUUUCGCAUUUUAUUGGUGCUUGAUCAUUUGAUUUAAUUAACAAAUGGAAAGAUGUCUCUAUUUCUAAUCCUCAAGAACAACAGAUUGCAGAUGUUUGGUCUUGUGGGGUCACCUUAUAUGUGAUGCUAGUUGGGGCAUAUCCUUUUGAAGAUCCUGAAGAUCCAAAAAACUUUAGAAAGACGAUCGGUGUGAGUAUUUACAUGGACUGUUCACUGGUGUUCCUGAGCUGCACUCUCAUUUCAUUCUUAUUUUUUGAAGGUUUCUGUUAAUAAUUUAUUGGUUAUUGCAGCAAAUACUCAGUGUCCACUACUCAUUUCCAGAUUAUGUUAGAGUUUCCCUGGAGUGUAAACAUCUACUUUCUCGGAUUUUUGUGGCAAAUUCCGAAAAGGUAAUUUAGCGUCUGUGAAACUGAAAAUGUAGCCAGCGGAUUCCAACUUAAACAUAUAAGCUAGUUCAGCAGGCAUGGGGAAGGAUAAAGCAAUGUCUUACUAGUCCUGUAACCGCUAUAAUUUCAUCUGCAAGUCCAAACACACAGUUUAAUGUUGUUUAUUAUAUAAAGUUUACUCACUAGUCAUGCUACAAAUUUUAGCACUUUUGUUGUAGGUAUCUAUGAUUUGAGAUAUAGAUGCAUUCAUACAAUUGAGAUAACAUGCAUUGUUAACUUCAGUCUGGUUAUUUCUUUGCAGAGAAUUACUAUUCCAGAAAUCAAAAACCAUCCAUGGUUCUUAAGAAACUUGCCCAUAGAGCUUACAGAAGGAGGGAGCUGGCAAAGCCAUGAUGUAAAUAACCCAUCCCAAAGCCUUGAAGAAGUGCUGUCCCUAAUACAUGAAGCCACAAAACCCAUUGAGGCUCCCAGAGUUGGGGGACAUUUACUUGGUAGCAGCAUGGAACUUGAUGACUUAGAUGCUGAUGCUGAUCUUGAAGAUACCGAGACAAGUGGCGAUUUUGUGUGCCCAUUGUGAUCAAAGCAUAUAAAUAAAGAGGUAUUGUUUUCACCAUCGCAAGAAUCAGAAUUUUGUUAGUGAAAGUGAUUAAGUGAUUACUCUAUUACAAAUCCUUUGUUUUAACAUUUGGCACAUUUAUAUAUGAUCUUUCUGUAUCACCUGUGUUGUAAAGGUAUUAAUAUAAUAUCUUUUUUUUUUUAACUACAAUUAUAUGCUGUUGGGAAAAGCAUAUCAUAAAGCGACCUGAUAUAUAUAUAAUAUGAUUGUAGCGCCUUCUAAAUGUGUUGAUGUGUAGGAUUAUUCAUUCAGACUCCAUGGAUACUUCUAGGGCCAGUUUCCUUUUUCAUUUGUUGAAUAAAGAAGGUUGAAAGUAUUUCUUUUUGCUUAUCUUAACAUCAUAAUUUAUAUUGUACCAAGAAGUCGCAAACCUGCUAAACUAAUUAUUGUUUAUUAUAACGAUCUUCAAAAAUGCUAUCAACAGCUUGAAGAAGCGAGUGCUUUUUAUCCUCACUUUCGUUCUUCUGCAUCCAACGGGCUAUAGAGUGUGAGAGGUUUUUCUUUUAUCUUUUUUUACGUCUGAUUUUCUUUCUUUUUUUUGGAGGGGGGGGGGGGGGGGUGUGGGGGUGGAGGAGCAUGUGGGUUAUCUUGUAUAAGAGGCAGGGUGCCCUGUUACUGUUGAAUUUGUAUAUAAGAAUUUAUACAAUAUAUUGUUUCAUAGUCACAGCCAAUAAUGAUAAAGUAGCCAUGUUUUGAAUGUCUCAAUAGUUUACCCAUGCUGUGAAAAGUGUACGCCUUCAAUUUUAUGCAAAUUUGAAGAAUUAAAUUAAUUAGUCCAUAGUGCAGUUCAUGAAAUGCUACAGGAAUUUGAAUCAAUCAGACAUUACAUCACUUACCUGAAAGUCCUUGUUGAUCGAUAAUUGGUACUGUGGCAAAAUAGAGUAUAAAAAUUCAAACACGGAAAUGAGAAGCUGAGCUUGCCUUCAUGUGGGUACAUUCAGUGGCAUGCUUGAUGAUUCGAACGCCACUGAGCUGAAGAAUCAAGACAAUGGCUCCAACAGAUUUAUUACAGUAACUCAAUUUAAGCGUUAGAUAAUGUUACUUUCAAAUUCUUAUUUUCUUUUCAAAUGAUUUAUAGAGUUCAUGUGUAAGUGUAACCAACCACUCAAGGAAAGGAAGACAUAACAAAGACCAGAGAGACAAUGUGUACGCAAAGCUUGAAUCAUCAAUUUCAAUACAAUUUUGUUUCGAGAAACAAAAUAUUUUAGCUUUUAAAAAAAGGAUUAAUAUCAUAAUUAUAUAUUUGGGAAAAAUAUAUUAAUUCCUUUUUUAAUAUUGGGAUAAAUUUUACUUAAUUAAGGGGGGAGGGAAGAAUGUUUUCCUUUAAUAUAAAAGAACACGGAGGAUUUGAACAAGAAAAAAGAUUAAUUAGUCUUGGGUGACACAUAUUUUUGACAUAUUUUAAAAAUAUUCGAACGGGUAACAUUCUAUUAACUUUUGCCUUUAACUUUAACUGGUUAAGGGUAAAAUUAGAAAAAAAAUAGAUUUUUUUUUUCAUAAAUCCAAAGGGAUAAAAAAUUAUAUCUGUAUAAUGUUUUACAAUUCAUAAGAGAUCUACUUCUUUAUGUUCACAAAUUAGUUUGAUUCAACAAGAAAUUGUUUGAUUUAACAAAAAAAAAAAAGCCGUGUCAAUUCAACUUAAAUUUAAAUUUUUAUAUAUUUUUAUUUAAAAAAUUAAAAUAAGUGAAUAGGGGGUAGAAACAUCAUUCGUAACAAAUUGUAAGCGUAAAAAUAUCAUUUUGUAACUAAUUAUAGAGAUAAGAACAUCAUUUUGUAAUUAAUGUAGGGGGAGAAACAUCAUUUUGUAACUAUUUUACUAUACAAGUUAAAGUAACAGCAAAAGUUAAAGAAAUGUCACAUACUCAAGUAUUUUUAAAGUAUAUAUUAUGUUCUUAAAAUUUGUCAAAAUAUGUAUCACCUAAGAUAAUUAAGAAAAAUUGAGCAUGUAGUUAAUUUUCAUCUGCAUGUACGUACAUUGGAACAAUUGAAAUGUAAGGUUAUAUAUGAUAUUCUAUUUCAACCAUUCUCAAAAGCACAAUUACAAACAGAUAAGAGAUAGAUACUGCCUUUUAUAUAAAAGCUAAUUAAUCUCGUCGCUAACUGUCCAGUGUUCCAUUUCAUUAUUUUGUGUGGCUGUCGUGUCUGAAUAUUAGAUGUAUGUAGAUACUUCGAUGAUAUUUUGAUGCGUUUAAGGAAAAUUAUUUUGAUGAUAUAUUGACGUCGUCGGCUUCCGGCAAGUUACUCUUUACUUGACAUUACCCAUAUGUUUAGAUUCAAAUAUGUCCUAUACAACGAAGAUGGGAUCGUCGGCAGAAUGGAAUUGGAGGUGAUGUACGCAUCCCUAAUAUAAAGCAGCCACCACAAUGCCGCCAUCAUAUGAAGGCAAAUGAAGGUGAACCACUGUCACUUCUGAUUGAUUGGCAAAUUUUGACCUAUAAUCAGGUGGUUUUGCACCAUGAGCCACCACCAUUAAACGACUGCUUCACAGUUCCCAAGCAUACUUGGACUGUUGGACAGCCGUGCUCUUCCACUAAGCCGCCAUUGCUGGAAAAAUUCACCAUUUAGUAGAUCACAAGAUUCUCGAUCCAAUGAUGCCUUUUGGGCGAUCAUAGGUCAACAAUUACGGUCACCGCAACGAAAAUUUGCUUUUUAAAUUAUUAAAUAUUUAUACUAUUUAAUAAAAAAUAUUUUUAUUUAUUAAAAAAGUUCUUAUUUGUUAAUAAAAAUAUUAAUUGUUAUAUUUUUUGUAAUUAUUUAAUAAUUAUUUGAAGUUAAAAGUCUUUUUUUUUUAACAAAAUGUUGACAUUUUAGUCAUUGUAUGAGGACACCACACACUUAGGAUCAAUUUAACAAACAUGUAUUCCAAACUUACUAAAAAGUAAUUCUUUUAUAAUAAGUUUACCAAACAUUUUAUGAAUUACUUUAAAAAGUUGGAGCCCCCUACGUUACGCUAAUCGUAACGUACAUUCACACACAACAACAGUACCCAUGGUGGAACUCGCUACUGUUGCUGUAUGUGGCGUACGUUACGAUUAACGUAACGUAGCACUGGCCUAAAAAGUUUAUUAUUAUGAAAUCUAAUUUAAAAGCGAUUAAUUGAGAAUCAAAGCAAUCCCAUACAUACCCCAUAGCUUAUUACAAGAGAAAAUUAGUGACGAAAAAGAUGAGGGAUUUCCGUAAGUUAAACAUGGAACUUAAAUAUGCACAAAUCAAGGCUUCAAAUAAAUGAAUGACAAAUGCAAAAAUGAUCAAGCGUAGCCCUUGUAGUUAUUGAGUUCUCCCCAUACUGUCAUCUCAACUUCUUCCCACGACUUAGCCGUCCUGAGUUCUUUCCAUGUACUGAAAAUAGUUCCCAAUACAUUAUCGUCAUGCAAAAUGCAGUAGCACCUGCAGACAUGAAACCAUCCAGAAUUACUUGUACCAAAAAGAUGAAAACGCAAUUCAAUCCCGAUAUAAAUGAGAACAUUCACAGAUAUAUUACAAGCUAACUAAUAAUGGGUUCAUUUCUAUAAUAUACUUUUUCAAACCUACGAACGAAUGAUCCUUUACUAGCCUUGAAAUACACAGAAGGGGAGAAAAUUUUCCAGGACUUGGAUUUCUUGUUACAAGCAAAAAAUUUCACAAACCAUAUAGCACUUACCACUACAUUUACGACACCAGUGAUCGAAUAACCAUUCACAACCAAAACUAGACUUUUGAUGUGGACCAAAAUCAUCCUCAUCCAAAACUGCUAACUCUCUCAACUUGGUUUUCAUCCAAGAUGUGAGUUAAACUUGAAUGCGCAAGUCAAGAAUUUCUCAUCACACACUGGCCAAAUGGCACAUGGAUCCACAAUACUAUUUUAAUAAAUGAAUGUGUUUGCUUUUUCACCAUACGACACUGUAACAGUCAUAGGUCUAAUGAUCGUCUACCAUGGUGCAAGCUGACCUCUCCCUCAAGCACCAUUCAGGAGCACCAUCCCAAGUAUUUCUAGGCCUGGAUUUGCUCAUAGACCCAUGCUACAGGUACAUCAUCUAAAACAACAUACGCUAGAUUUUUUUCAUUUUUCCUUACCUGAAGAAUGCAAUACCUAACAUCCUGGUAACAAUUUCAGAGGCAAAAAAAUCGAGUUUGUGGUAAUACUUCAGAUUGUAUAUCGAUUUUACUCAUGAUCUCCUAAUAAAUAUGCACCAAUAUCCAUGCUGGUUUUCUUAAAUAAUGUAAAAUGUUGCUUGAAUAGUAAUUACUGAUAAUGUUGUCAGUACAAUAUCACAUACAGGAUAAAUCAACACAACUGAAAAUCAAGCAACGCUGCUGAAGAGAUGUAGACAUGAGGAUACAAAAGAAAGUAACUAAAUUAGGCCAAUACUUACAUUGCAUGGUAUGAAAGUCGUGAAAACUUGCCGCCUCCUGAUCCAUGCUGUUGCAUUCUUCUCACUAAAGGAAGUUUGUAACUUUCUAAAAAUUGCUUAAAGAGAGAAGAGUCACCUCUAAAGAUAUCUAAAUGUAUAGGGAUCACGUCAUAAAUGGGAUCACCUACAGAAAAGAUAAAAUUGAAUUAGAUGCUGCAAUAUCAUAAUGUAGUUUUAAUAGUAACUUUUUGGCUGACAAUAAAUGAUUACUUUCAUAGUGAGUAUACAUGAGAUUGACCAUGUUUCAGAUAUAAGAAUAUUCAUCAGCUAAACAAUUAGUUAUCCCGUACAAGAUUUUAAGAGUUAAGAAUGAGCACAUUGCUACAUAACAUUCAGUAUGGCAGUAACCGGAAGGAAUGAUGGAUGCAGAUAGAUGUAGAUAGAUGGAAAACGGCUUCUUGUCUUUUGGUCUUCUGUAAUUUUUAGCUUCGCUGAAUCUGCUAGUUAUGGUUUUAUCUUAUGCUUGUCUGAUGUUUAGUAGUCUUCCUUAAUUCCCCGAAUCUUUUUGGUCUUUCUGCUUUAAUCCUUGAUGAACUGAAUUUUGUACUGAAUAAGUACAAUAUGAAACACAAAUUGAGUUAAGCAAAAAGCACUUACCGAUAGAAAGAUUACUAAAAUCAAUUAUGUGGCUACAAUGCCAAGACUUUGCUUCUCCAAAUUCAUCAUAGCCAUUUAUGGAGCCAUUGACCAUUGGGCCAGUAUCUGCAGCAUUUCCAUUUGAGCGUGAGCUAGCACAACAUGGUUCCAUAUAAACAUUGUCAUCCAUGAUAUCCGAGUGUAUCCAGGAGCAAGGUUUGCAAACUUUAUUCAGGCCAUUCUCAUCCUGAAAUCAAAUAGAAAUGAGAUCCUACCAUGAUAAAAAAAUAAAGAAUGUACUAGUUAACAGAGGUUCUACCAUGAAUAUCUUUACCAAAAAAUAAAAAUGAAAUGGCAAUGAAGUCUGGAAGAAACCUGGUAGAUGUCAAGCAACUUCACAAAAUCAUCUGGGAUGUAUUCAUCAACUUUGUCAAUCAAUGCUUUAGGAAUUGGAUGUCCCCUAAAAAUUACAACAGCAUCUCAGAAGUGUCACAUUGAUACAAUUGUGCAAUGGUAGACACAAAAUUAAAUUCAUAUAUGCAAUAAAUGUGUGAGUACACAAAACCAGAUUUAAAGGAUCUGAGAUAUAUAAAACCUGCUGAUAAAGAGUAUGAUAUGCAUUAAUAGCAUCCAGGGAGGACAGAAAAAGGAAUCAAAAGCAAGAUUCUCUUUCUUUAGAUUGAUAAGGUGCAACAGAGGUGUAUAUAUAACAUACUGUACUGACUCAAUUUAAUAAGACCAGAUUCAUCAGAUUCAUAUGAACAAUCUGUUCACCAGAAGCCGACAGUAAUCAAGAGACAAUUCCUAGAUUUCAAAGUAUAAUAACCCUAGUGGUCUGGAAAUGUUUAUAUCACCAAACGCAAUAGCUGUCUCAGUACUGAUAAAGAGGCACAAAGUACUGAAAAAGAUAUAGACAUACCAAGCAGUCAAGCGGUUAACAAGAUUCUUCUUCUUCCUGGCUAGAGUUCUGAUGAAGAUUUCCCAUUCUGCUGGAACACUCGAUGUAUCCACAACAUCUUCCACAAAACCAUUGUUAAAGGGUGGUUCGGUUUUCAGUUUAUCUGACAAGGAUGACUCAUUGAAAGGUGGACAAGGCAAGAGAUGAAGGUUGCGCAACUGCUCGCCUAAAAAGGAAGCCAAGUUUAGCACAUCCUCCCCCGAGAGUGCAUCUCUUCUGCAAAAAAAUGAAAAUGGAUUUGAUACUGAAAGCUUCGCCAAUGCUGGCUACUACCAGCACAUCUGUAAUUCUAAGCUGAGCUGCAUCUGAAUUAAACAAGAAGAGCUUAUGUUCAGACAACUUACAACUGAGCAAACAUCUUCCCUUUGCAUCGUUUUGUUAUAAUAUAUGGCCAUAUCCUAUUGCAUCCAUCUGAAGUGCUUAAUUUAGAUACUGACAUCCAAGCACUUCUAUAUUCAAACUGCUUUUUGUUCCAUAUUCCAAAAGGGAACUCUUCUUGUUUGCAAUUCAGCAGAGUCAGAUUGCACUUACCAAUCACAUCAAGCACUCCUUUACCAUCCCAAGGCACAAUUGUAUAUGACCCAUUUUCAACAUAAAGAAUACCACUUGCCAGAACAUCAGGAAUGUAAUUUUUCAGAGGGGAGUUGACUUUAGCCAAUAAACUAUAAAACUCGAGCUGCAAAAAAGCAAAAUAAAGUUACAAAUUUCACAAGCUUAAGGCUUUGCGUUUAAUGGCUGCUUAACAUGUGACAAACUCCAAUCCGACCGAUAGUUCCUAUGAAUGUUAAAAACCCAUCAUUCUAUUGAUUUAAUUACAAUCAGUGACUGUCCUCUGAAUGCAUAGAUUCAUGUGACAGGCUUGUUAAUUGUAUUCAGUCAUGGAUUUGAAUUGACAUGUUCGGAUUUAAAUAAUGUUGUUGGGCAUUUUAUUAGCUUAACCUAUUAGAAUUAGAGGUUAUUCAGUGCAAGUUGUGAAAGAUUUGUAAGAGAAGAAAGACAAAGUCAUACCUCAGUUCCCAAACCAUAAAUUGAAGAUUCAAACCCACCUUCAACAAAAAUUUUUACUACACAGUCGGCCAUGAGAUAAACCUGUUAAGAGCAAUAUCAGAACAAUUACAAGAGAUACAACAAAACUCAAAAUUAUAAAAUAAUCUGUUGUUUCAGUAACAAAUUUAUACAUUUUUGACACGACAGCCAACUGAUAUAAAUCAGAUUCUUUUGGCUUUAACAGUUAAUUUAAUCUAGCCCCAUAACUUGACAGAUUAAAACUCAAUGCUGCAGUUCUGCCAAUUCUGCUCAGGACCAAAAACCUUAGGAUCUCCUAGCCUGAACUGAAACUUAACAUUCCCUAUCAUAUAAGUUUAACUGACAGCACCUCUAGGAAACAGGUUGCCUAAUCCUACACCCAUAUUCACACUCUGAUAGAGGAAGCACACAAGAGAAGCACCGGGAAAAAUGCAAAAUAAGAGGAAAAAGAUGAGGGAUCAGUGAACUAUGCAGGUCCGAUGUUUAAAAGAUAAUCAUUCCAAUUAUCUAACACCAUCCUUAUCCUCUAUGGCAUUUCAGUGGCAGCUAUGUAGAAUCAGUCAGGAAGAAAUUCCUUUUAGCACAUAUCCCAACAAUGAAUAAGUGCCCCACCCAAAAAAAAAAAAAUUCCAUCUUCCACAACAAUGCAAAUAUCCUUUGCAAACCAUCCCAUCCACGUGCAUACAUCGGUUGAAAACACAAAAUCUAUAAGCAUGAAUAAUGAUCCAACUUUGCCUUUCAAGAAAUGAACGUUAAAAAAUAAUGCAUUUCAAUAUUUGAAACAGUAAUGUAAAGAGGCAGGUUGACUGAAAGAUACAAUUCGGGAAAAAGUAAAUAAUCAUAAAAAAUGACAAACUCACAGGAUUGCUACCAUUGCCAACUGGAAGCUUCUCUUCAGCAGUUAGGGUAGGCAAUUUGUGGAAGUUACAUAUUUCUUCAAGAAGUUCCAACCACUUACCUGCAUUUAGAGCAAGACAUGCUCCCUAAGGCAAUAAAGGACAUAAGUUAGAGGGGAAAAAAAUUGACCACGAGAGGCUAAGAAAGAAAAAUAUACAUACAUUCUGCUUAAUAAAUUUCUAUGGCUUAUCAACCCCAAAAGAAGAAAAAGAAAAAAAAAAAAGUUUCCUCAUUCUAUGCAUCAAGCUGCCCAAGUUGACAAAAAGAAAGAAAAGGUAAUACCUUCCAUAUUAGCUCUCUCAUUUCUGGUUUGCCAACCCAAAGCUUGUACAGCCAUUCUCUCAUUUCUCGCUUUCCAGUGCAGUUACCAGAGCUCCAUGGAAAAUUAUAGUGGUCUCUAUCUUCAUCCAAAAACUUUGCCAAGAAAUUUAUAUCAUAUGAAAAAUCUUGUUUUGAGGAAUUAUAAUUUUUAGAGACACCAUUAGUAUCUUCUUCAUGGUUUUGAAUCUCCCCACAUCUGUUAACUCUGACUCUCUUCUCUUUCCUUGUCAGGUCAGGGUAACUCAUAUCAUGAUCACCAGCAGUCGUAUUCUUUCCACCACCCUCAAGACUUUCUUCCUCAAGGGCAAGCAAUCCAGCACGGCAAACUCCUUUAUGACGAUAACCAGGAGCAAAAUCCAAACAAACAAAUUCAAAGUUUUUGGAAUCGACAAAAUUCUGAGUAACAGCAAUAGUUGUUUCCAAAUUCAGGAUGCAGUGCCACCAUCCACUUGGAACAACAAUUGUCUCCCCAGGUAGUUGGGUACAUUCAAUUGGCUUGUCAUCGUCAGCAAGAAGAGGGUAGAAGUCUAGCCACCACUUUACACAUAAAAAGUGACUCAAUAAAGGUAAAUUGUGUGAAUGCUAUUAGAAGAGAGAUGAAAUAUGUCUUAAAUACCUCCAAGGACGAUGGAGUCUCAAUAUUGACAUCACCAUCAUCUUCAUUUACAUGUACUGUAACACCUAGAGGUACUCGUCCAGGAGGAUACAAUGCCCACCUAUUCAAAGACAAAGGAGACAAUGCCUCUUAGAUACCAAGCUCUUUCAAUCAUAUGAGAGCAAAUAUGAAGGGAAAAAGAUCAGUAACUAUUGUCAACACAUCCAUUUGACAAGAGUAAAGGCACUUCUAAAGUUGCAGUUGCAUAAAAAAUAAAGUUAAAACAGCAAUUGAGUAAUUGCCACCUUCUUUUUCCUUGUUACCAGCAGGUGGUAUUGCUAUUUAUUUAGUGGGGACAUGGUUAAAGUUCAACCUCAACACCUACCAUAUCCAAACAAUCAAAGGUAUAUAGGAAAGUAUCCAGAAAAGGAGCAACAAAAGAAAAGAAAGACAAGUAGCCUAAGGCCUUCUAGGUUAUAUAGGUACCGUUAUUUUGGGAGUACGGUUAAAUAGGUUAUAUAGGUACGUUGUUAGCACUCAACUCUAACAACCCAAGGGCUACACAAGUGGCCUGCAGUCAGCACUAAGCCGACCAUCUAGUUUUUGAGCAUGGAUGAGCCAGUGCUGUUAGAGAAGGAAAAGAAGGCAGAAAAGAAAGGUACAAAACAUCUGCAACAAAGCAUCUAUGCCAACGUGCAUCUUCACACACACCAUGGGGGAAGCAUUUCACUCAUUGCAUGAUAGUGGAGACAUCGUUAUGAAGAGAAAGUUAACAAAAAGGAGAUAGAAAAAUCUAGGAUAUUCCACAAGACAAAAUACUUUAUAUUUAUCUAUUUUCCCCUGUAACUGAUUUAUGAAACAGUUAAAAAUUAAAACUAAAACUAGGACAUGUCAAGCGAUGGUAUUGUGGCCAGGAACAUGUUCUAAAUAUGCAAUAGGAUGCAUUUUUGUUUCUAAACAAUUUCAUGGCCAAUGCUAUCGACUGUAAGAAGUAAGAAAUCACAACAACAGAUUCAGUAGGGAAAAACCAAAACCCAGAAACAAACUAUUUCCAAGUCCAUAAUUUACCUUUUACGGCCACACAAUAGAGUAUUCCAAGCACUGGUAAGAGCUGGAUCAACGUGCCAUGAAGCACCAGACCUCUGUGGCCCAAUAAUAACCCAUCUAUAAGAAGGUCGCAUAUCUCCAUCUAAAACAUUAAAUAAGUCUUCUUGAAACAGAUCAGGCACUCUGUAAUCCUCCAACAAUCCCUGUGCAUUUUCCCCAAACUGCAUAUGCAGAAGUUGAUAUCAAAAUUCCUAUUUACCAGAAAAGAAUGCAUGAAUAUCACUAAAACGACAAGGACACCUUGUAAUCAAAAAUAUAUAAAGGAUCUUCAUCGUGCUGAACAUUCAUGUAUGCAACAUAAUCCUUAAAUUUCAUUGAAAUGCUCCGAACACUCCUUUGAGAAAUCCUAAAUGCUGUAUCUCCAUAUCUGGUCAAUAGCUGGUCAAUAGUCCAUGUAUUCCUCGCAGGCCAAGUAUCCGCCAAUCCACUAAGCAAAAUCUGUUAAUGGUUUGAAGCCAAAACCCAUCAACAAAAUAAUUAAGAUACGAUUAGUAAUUCAAAUUUCUUAAAAUCAUAAAUCAUCCAGUGAAAAACUUUGCUCAAUAUGGUGGGUAUACAGACACGUUUUUUAAUCUGCAGAUUAACCAAAGAGUGCCACUUGUCAUUUUCACUCACUAUAACGUGAGAAAUGUAUAUAUAUAAUGUUUUCAGGACCAAAAAUCUGUGUCACCCAAAGCAUAAAUUGUCAAAAUGAUGACAUCAAACAUGGUGGUAGUAUGAGCACCAAGCAAUUAGCGUAGAAAUAGAGGCAAUCAUGAUUGCAUGGUAUUAGGAGGUUUGCAGGAGGUGGUUUAUAAUGGCAGUGGUGGAGGCAAUCUGGUAGCGAGGCAAGCAUGGCUGCAUAAACAUAGCAAGGAGGAAUAGGUGUUGGUCUAGAUCGUAUGGUUGAAGCAGAGCAGCAGUUAUGCUAUGGCAUUAUUAAUGGUAUUAGAUCCGUGGGUGAUGUUUUGUCAAUUGAGUUUAUGAUGAAGAUGGAGGAUUGAGAGAGGAGGAGCAGCAAGCAUUCAAUAGGUAUCAUUUCAACUUCAAAUGCUGUAGAUGACAGUACAUUCAACAAAGGAUAACAAAACAGAGAUAAAAGAACUAUUCCCAUUGGAUCAUUUCAAACAGAGUAGAAAAAUCAUUUCCCAUAUUUCAAAUAAAGUUAUUCAUGAAAUCUAAAAUCAAUAAUUAACAUCAUACCGGUUCUUCAGCACACUCACGAUCAAACUCCUCGCGAGUUACAAUCUUCUUUCUUUUCACAAGUUGACUAUCAAAAGAGAAGCCAUCCAAUACAGUAUGGCACCUGUAAUAUCUUCUGUAUAAGAAUGGUGAAUAGAAUCCUGCAAAAUAGUAAAUGUCCGAUCACUUAAGAUAGCUAAGAUCACAUAAAUCAUUUUAUCAAUAUAAACUAUGAAGAACAUCUGACAAAUAUCACUAUGGAGAAGAGCCUCUACAAGGAUUAAUAAUCAAAUUAACAUUCAUCAAGCUAUGGCAUCAGAACUGUUACCAUCAAAAUGCAACAGCCUCGUGCAUGAUUCAUCAUAUUCAAUUGGUGGAUCCUCUCUGCAUCUCAAAACACAGUAACAAAUUACUAUGUAGUAUAUAAGACUGUUAUUAAAAAAAAAAAAAAAAAAAAACUUGAAAACAAUGCAAAAGUCGUAGCUUGAAUUUAGGAGACGUACAAAUGCAAAGCUGUUUUCUUCCAAGAGCCUUUGUACUGAAGUAGACCACUUGCUUUCUUAAGACAGAGACUCAUCCACAGAGGCUCUUCAUUACAAAAUAUAUACAUCACACUGCAGACAGAACCGGGAAAAAAAAAACAUAACUUAAAAGAACAAAAUAAAUCUUAGAACAAUGACGAAAAGACCAAUUAAAGCUCCUUUGAAACUGCUUCUAUGAAGCAGUAGUGAAAAACUUAACUAAAAAGAAGAAUCAUAAAAAUUUCAACAAAGACUAACCAUUGAAAAUCCAUUACACUGAAUUCAAAUGUUGAUUAAAUAAUAUGAAAUUAAGAUUUCAUAAGCUAACAGAUUAUUCAUACUUUAACUCGCUCUAACUUUUCCACAAUAGACAAAUUAAUCAACGUGAAAUCAAGAAAAAAAAUUACAAUGACCAAUUAAAAGUAAUCAAGAUUAGGCUGUUAGAAAUAAUUUUUUUAAAUUUUUUUAUUUAUAAAACUGUUAGAAGUAAUUACAGAAACAGAAAUAAACAAAAUAAAAUAAAACCUGCUAACGCAGGCGAGACGACCGACGUCGCGAGGAGUGAGAUGUUCCAACAUAGAGCAGAUGAUUUCAUCGGGAAUGAUUUUAAGAUCGCCGAGUGCAUCAGGUCGACGAUCUUUCACCGGGAGUGCUUGAUCAGAAUUCUGCAUUGAUUUGCUUUGCUUUGCGACACUACCGAAUCGAAUCGCUUUUAUCUCCGUAGUUUUUUAGUUUGCGCUCUUUUUAAAUGUUUGCGUAGAUAGAACGCGGCGUUUUGCAGCUUGCAAAGAUGGCGGGCAUUCAGCAAGAUUCGCGUAGACUCUAACGAUGAUGAGGGCGCGUGGAGAUUCUCUUAACGUGUUUGUUGCACGUGGGCCGCGGCUGGACCGUUUCUUGGUACCUUUUAAAGAUUUUUUCCUUUUUUAUUUUUAUUUUUGAAAAUAUUCUUUUCUUGCACUGACCCUAAAAGUGUAUAUGUACUCUUUUAUCUUCUCUUCGGCCCGCACAAAACAACCUUCUUUCCGAUAUUCCACAUUGUGCAAUCAAUAAUAAUGAUAUGAUUCUAAAAUGAAAUAUAAAAUUUAUAUUUCAAUUAAUGUAAGUAAUAUUAUUACAAAUGGAUAUUAUCAUUUUACAAGGUAAUUUUUCCUGAUAUAUUGUUUCACAUUCACAGUAUUUAGUCAGAAUUGUUUCCUGCUCGCUCAGCCUGGACAAUGAAAUGUGAUAAAACAAAAAGGCCUAGAGAGACCGAUGUCGACGGAGUUUAAAAUCAAGAAAAUUUAAAAACAAAAAGGCCCCGAGUCUGCUAAAUGAAGGUUUAUGAUUUUUUUUUUUUUUUUGAAGUCUGUUAUACACAGAUAUUACUGACAUUACAUCAGACAUUACAAUUAAUAUUUGCAAUCAUACUAUAUAACUGGGACCACCACAAUACAUUGACACACUGAAGUAUAUGCCUAGAUAUUUUAAACCCUCUCUAAUAUUCAAGGGGUGCCUGCUCCACUCACAUUUCGUAAAGGAGAGACUGUCUCUACUCAAUUAAUUAAUAAUUGAGGAAGAACUGAAACUAACCUCCAUAAUGCUCUUAUGGAGGCUCGAACCCUUGCACUCAACAUUGUAAGUGCAAGGCUUCUCCCAUUGGACCAAAG